Molecule: ribosomal RNA, 439 nt
Filed under: uncultured bacterium
Lineage: Bacteria
Description: partial 16S ribosomal RNA
Rfam family: Bacterial small subunit ribosomal RNA
Source: RNAcentral
CUACGGGCCGCUGCAGUGGGGAAUAUUGCACAAUGGAGGAAACUCUGAUGCAGCAACGCCGCGUGGAGGAUGACACUUUUCGGAGCGUAAACUCCUUUUAUAUAGGAAGAUAAUGACGGCACUAUAUGAAUAAGCACCGGCUAACUCCGUGCCAGCAGCCGCGGUAAUACGGAGGGUGCAAGCGUUACUCGGAAUCACUGGGCGUAAAGAGCGUGUAGGCGGGUUAAUAAGUCAGAAGUGAAAUCCUAUGGCUCAACCAUAGAACUGCUUUUGAAACUGUUAACCUAGAGUGUGGGAGAGGUAGAUGGAAUUUCUGGUGUAGGGGUAAAAUCCGUAGAGAUCAGAAGGAAUACCGAUUGCGAAGGCGAUCUACUGGAACAUAACUGACGCUGAGACGCGAAAGCGUGGGGAGCAAACAGGAUUAGAUACCCGAGUAGUC